GACGAACGCUGGCGGCGUGCUUAACACAUGCAAGUCGAACGGAAAGGCCCCUUCGGGGGUACUCGAGUGGCGAACAGGUGAGUAACACGUGAGUAACCUGCCCUUGACUUCGGGAUAACUUCAGGAAACUGGGGCUAAUACCGGAUAGGAAUCCUUGCUGCAUGGUGGGGGUUGGAAAGCUUCGGCGGUUUUGGAUGGACUCGCGGCUUAUCAGCUUGUUGGUGGGGUAGUGGCUUACCAAGGCUUUGACGGGUAGCCGGCCUGAGAGGGCGACCGGCCACAUUGGGACUGAGAUACGGCCCAGACUCCUACGGGAGGCAGCAGUGGGGAAGAUUGCACAAUGGGCGGAAGCCUGAUGCAGCAACGCCGCGUGCGGGAUGACGGCCUUCGGGUUGUAAACCGCUUUCAGCAGGGGCGAAGCUUGUGGUGACGGUACCUGCAGAAGAAGCACCGGCUAACUACGUG
RNAcentral lists this ribosomal RNA (465 nucleotides) under uncultured bacterium. RNAcentral's name for it is "partial 16S ribosomal RNA". It matches the Rfam family "Bacterial small subunit ribosomal RNA", at positions 28 to 507 of the family's 1533-position model. The record is from RNAcentral.